GAUGAACGCUGGCGGCGUGCCUAAUACAUGCAAGUCGAGCGAACAGACGAGGAGCUUGCUCCUCUGACGUUAGCGGCGGACGGGUGAGUAACACGUGGAUAACCUACCUAUAAGACUGGGAUAACUUCGGGAAACCGGAGCUAAUACCGGAUAAUAUAUUGAACCGCAUGGUUCAAUAGUGAAAGACGGUUUUGCUGUCACUUAUAGAUGUAUCCGCGCCGCAUUAGCUAGUUGGUAAGGUAACGGCUUACCAAGGCAACGAUGCGUAGCCGACCUGAGAGGGUGAUCGGCCACACUGGAACUGAGACACGGCCCAGACUCCUACGGGAGGCAGCAGUAGGGAAUCUUCCGCAAUGGGCGAAAGCUUGACGGAGCAACGCCGCGUGAGUGAUGAAGGUCUUCGGAUCGUAAAACUCUGUUAUUAGGGAAGAACAAAUGUGUAAGUAACUAUGCACGUCUUGACGGUACCUAAUCAGAAAGCCACGGCUAACUACGUG
This 497-nucleotide ribosomal RNA is filed under the name uncultured bacterium. RNAcentral's name for it is "partial 16S ribosomal RNA". It matches the Rfam family "Bacterial small subunit ribosomal RNA", at positions 28 to 507 of the family's 1533-position model. The record is from RNAcentral.